RNAcentral lists this ribosomal RNA (497 nucleotides) under uncultured bacterium. RNAcentral's name for it is "partial 16S ribosomal RNA". It matches the Rfam family "Bacterial small subunit ribosomal RNA", at positions 28 to 507 of the family's 1533-position model. The record is from RNAcentral.
GAUGAACGCUGGCGGCGUGCCUAAUACAUGCAAGUCGAGCGAACGGACGAGAAGCUUGCUUCUCUGAUGUUAGCGGCGGACGGGUGAGUAACACGUGGAUAACCUACCUAUAAGACUGGGAUAACUUCGGGAAACCGGAGCUAAUACCGGCUAAUAUUUUGAACCGCAUGGUUCAAAAGUGAAAGACGGUCUUGCUGUUACUUAUAGAUGGAUCCGCGCUGCAUUAGCUAGUUGGUAAGGUAACGGCUUACCAAGGCAACGAUGCAUAGCCGACCUGAGAGGGUGAUCGGCCACACUGGAACUGAGACACGGUCCAGACUCCUACGGGAGGCAGCAGUAGGGAAUCUUCCGCAAUGGGCGAAAGCCUGACGGAGCAACGCCGCGUGAGUGAUGAAGGUCUUCGGAUCGUAAAACUCUGUUAUUAGGGAAGAACAUAUGUGUAAGUAACUGUGCACAUCUUGACGGUACCUAAUCAGAAAGCCACGGCUAACUACGUG